AUGCAAGUCGAGCGGACAGAUGGGAAGCUUGCUCCCUGAUGUUAGCGGCGGACGGGUGAGUAACACGUGGGUAACCUGCCUGUAAGACUGGGAUAACUCCGGGAAACCGGGGCUAAUACCGGAUGGUUGUCUGAACCGCAUGGUUCAGACAUAAAAGGUGGCUUCGGCUACCACUUACAGAUGGACCCGCGGCGCAUUAGCUAGUUGGUGAGGUAACGGCUCACCAAGGCGACGAUGCGUAGCCGACCUGAGAGGGUGAUCGGCCACACUGGGACUGAGACACGGCCCAGACUCCUACGGGAGGCAGCAGUAGGGAAUCUUCCGCAAUGGACGAAAGUCUGACGGAGCAACGCCGCGUGAGUGAUGAAGGUUUUCGGAUCGUAAAGCUCUGUUGUUAGGGAAGAACAAGUGCCGUUCAAAUAGGGCGGCACCUUGACGGUACCUAACCAGAAAGCCACGGCUAACUACGUGCCAGCAGCCGCGGUAAUACGUAGGUGGCAAGCGUUGUCCGGAAUUAUUGGGCGUAAAGGGCUCGCAGGCGGUUUCUUAAGUCUGAUGUGAAAGCCCCCGGCUCAACCGGGGAGGGUCAUUGGAAACUGGGGAACUUGAGUGCAGAAGAGGAGAGUGGAAUUCCACGUGUAGCGGUGAAAUGCGUAGAGAUGUGGAGGAACACCAGUGGCGAAGGCGACUCUCUGGUCUGUAACUGACGCUGAGGAGCGAAAGCGUGGGGAGCGAACAGGAUUAG
This 745-nucleotide ribosomal RNA is filed under the name Bacillus subtilis. Its description in RNAcentral is "bacterial SSU rRNA". It matches the Rfam family "Bacterial small subunit ribosomal RNA", at positions 55 to 781 of the family's 1533-position model. The record is from RNAcentral. Lineage: Bacteria; Bacillati; Bacillota; Bacilli; Caryophanales; Bacillaceae.